Molecule: ribosomal RNA, 252 nt
Filed under: uncultured bacterium
Lineage: Bacteria
Description: partial 16S ribosomal RNA
Rfam family: Bacterial small subunit ribosomal RNA
Source: RNAcentral
UACGGAGGAUGCGAGCGUUAUCCGGAUUUAUUGGGUUUAAAGGGUGCGUAGGCGGGCUUUUAAGUCAACGGUAAAAAUUCGGGGCUCAACCCCGUCCGGCCGUUGAAACUGGGGGUCUUGAGUGGGCGAGAAGAAGGCGGAAUGCGUGGUGUAGCGGUGAAAUGCAUAGAUAUCACGCAGAACCCCGAUUGCGAAGGCAGCCUUCCGGCGCCCUACUGACGCUGAGGCACGAAAGUGCGGGGAUCGAACAGG